This 253-nucleotide ribosomal RNA is filed under the name uncultured bacterium. Its description in RNAcentral is "partial 16S ribosomal RNA". It matches the Rfam family "Bacterial small subunit ribosomal RNA", at positions 524 to 776 of the family's 1533-position model. The record is from RNAcentral.
UACAGAGGUCUCAAGCGUUGUUCGGAUUCAUUGGGCGUAAAGGGUGCGUAGGCGGCGCGGUAAGUCAGGUGUGAAAUCUCGGGGCUUAACUCCGAAACUGCAUUCGAUACUGCCGUGCUUGAGGACUGGAGAGGAGACUGGAAUUUACGGUGUAGCGGUGAAAUGCGUAGAUAUCGUAAGGAAGACCAGUGGCGAAGGCGGGUCUCUGGACAGUUCCUGACGCUGAGGCACGAAGGCCAGGGGAGCAAACGGG